RNAcentral lists this microRNA precursor (88 nucleotides) under Glycine max (soybean). RNAcentral describes it as "miR4412 stem-loop (gma-MIR4412)". The record is from miRBase by way of RNAcentral. Lineage: Eukaryota; Viridiplantae; Streptophyta; Magnoliopsida; Fabales; Fabaceae.
AACUGUUGCGGGUAUCUUUGCCUCUGAAGGAAAGUUGUGCCUAUUAUUAUGGCUUAUUGCUUUAGUGGCGUAGAUCCCCACAACAGUU